This 200-nucleotide ribosomal RNA is filed under the name uncultured bacterium. RNAcentral describes it as "partial 16S ribosomal RNA". It matches the Rfam family "Bacterial small subunit ribosomal RNA", at positions 8 to 228 of the family's 1533-position model. The record is from RNAcentral.
AGAGUUUGAUCAUGGCUCAGGACGAACGCUGGCGGCGUGCCUAACACAUGCAAGUCGAACGCCCUGUUUCGGCAGGGAGUGGCGGACGGGUGAGGAACACGUGGGUACCUGCCCUUCAGUGAGGAAUACCGGCGAGAAAUCGCCGACAAUACCGCAUACGCUUCGCAAGAAGCAAAGCUCGCAAGAGCGCUGGAGGAUGG